AGUUUACACAGUUCAUGGGUCCUUGGAGCCCCAGUCUAAGCACUGCAAAGGUAUUUAGUGGAGGGGAGUAAUUGACUCUGACCCCCCUGGGUAUAUCCAAGGGCAUCCAAAAGGAGGCUGGUUGCUGAUGGAAACUUGCCCUGGUGUGGAGAGUGUUUCACUGAGGUGGGAUGGCCAGUAGUCGUGCAGAGCUGUGUUUUGCUGGUGUGAGAAGGGACGGAG
Molecule: non-coding RNA, 222 nt
Organism: Phascolarctos cinereus (koala)
Lineage: Eukaryota; Metazoa; Chordata; Mammalia; Diprotodontia; Phascolarctidae
Source: RefSeq, a predicted model, not a curated record